Molecule: unclassified non-coding RNA, 215 nt
Filed under: Hevea brasiliensis (rubber tree)
Lineage: Eukaryota; Viridiplantae; Streptophyta; Magnoliopsida; Malpighiales; Euphorbiaceae
Source: RNAcentral
AUCCAUUGCUUUCAUCAUUUAUAUUUAAUGCACCUUCUCUGGAUGAACCUCUGAAUAUACAGCCUCUUUCUUCAGUUGAAGCAGGCUCAGUGAAGGGGAGCACGACUGAGGAGUUUCGGGAAAGAAAAGUCGAACAGUCACCGCUGUCAGACAAGGACCAAGAGGAGAAAUCUCAGAGGUGCGAGUUUGUGCAGGGUCUGUUGCUGUCUGCCAUU